UAAGGACCGGCUAACUNCGUGCCAGCAGCCGCGGUAAUACGGAGGGNCCAAGCGUUAUCCGGAUUUAUUGGGUUUAAAGGGUGCGCAGGCGGACNUAUCAGUCAGUGGUGAAAUCCCGGGGCUCAACUCCGGAACUGCCAUUGAUACUGUAGNUCUUGAGUUUGGUUGAAGUGGGCGGAAUGUAGCAUGUAGCGGUGAAAUGCAUAGAUAUGCUACAGAACACCGAUCGCGAAGGCAGCUCACUAAGCCAAGACUGACGCUCAGGCACGAAAGCGUGGGUAGCGAACAGGAUUAGAUACCCUGGUAGUCCACGCCGUAAACGAUGAUCACUCGUUGUUGGCAACACAUAGUCAGUGACCAAGCGAAAGCGAUAAGUGAUCCACCUGGGGAGUACGUUCGCAAGAAUGAAACUCAAAGGAAUUGACGGGGGCCCGCACAAGCGGUGGAGCAUGUGGUUUAAUUCGAUGAUACGCGAGGAACCUUACCUGGGCUCAAAUGUAAGUUGACAGUUUCUGAAAGGGAAUUUUCUUCGGACAAUUUACAAGGUGCUGCAUGGUUGUCGUCAGCUCGUGCCGUGAGGUGUCGGGUUGAGUCCCAUAACGAGCGCAACCCCUAUUCUUAGUUGCCAUCAGGUCAAGCUGGGGACUCUAGGAAAACUGCCUACGCAAGUAGAGAGGAAGGUGGGGAUGACGUCAAAUCAGCACGGCCCUUACGUCCAGGUCUACACACGUGCUACAAUGGCCGGUACAGAGGGCAGCCACCUGGUGACAGGGAGCGAAUCUCGAAAGCCGGUCUCAGUUCGGAUCGAAGUCUGCAACCCGACUUCGUGAAGCUGGAAUCGCUAGUAAUCGCGCAUCGGCCAUGGCGCGGUGAAUACGUUCCCGGGCCUUGCACACACCGCCCGUCAAGGGCGAAUUCUGCAGAUAUCCAUCACACUGGCGGCCGCUCG
This 949-nucleotide ribosomal RNA is filed under the name uncultured bacterium. RNAcentral describes it as "bacterial SSU rRNA". It matches the Rfam family "Bacterial small subunit ribosomal RNA", at positions 487 to 1447 of the family's 1533-position model. The record is from RNAcentral.